UAGCUCAGUUGGUAGAGCAUUGGCGCUUUCAACGCCAGGGUUGUGGGUUUGAUUCCCAC
RNAcentral lists this transfer RNA (59 nucleotides) under Salmo salar (Atlantic salmon). It matches the Rfam family "tRNA", at positions 8 to 63 of the family's 71-position model. Rfam says of the family: Transfer RNA (tRNA) molecules are approximately 80 nucleotides in length. Their secondary structure includes four short double-helical elements and three loops (D, anti-codon, and T loops). Further hydrogen bonds mediate the characteristic L-shaped molecular structure. tRNAs have two regions of fundamental functional importance: the anti-codon, which is responsible for specific mRNA codon recognition, and the 3' end, to which the tRNAs corresponding amino acid is attached (by aminoacyl-tRNA synthetases). tRNAs cope with the degeneracy of the genetic code in two manners: having more than one tRNA (with a specific anti-codon) for a particular amino acid; and 'wobble' base-pairing, i.e. permitting non-standard base-pairing at the 3rd anti-codon position. The record is from Rfam by way of RNAcentral. Lineage: Eukaryota; Metazoa; Chordata; Actinopteri; Salmoniformes; Salmonidae.